GAUGAACGCUGGCGGCAUGCCUAACACAUGCAAGUCGGACGGGCAGUGGUGUUUCUUGUGGCGCUGGGGUGAGCAACGCGCAAGAACGUGACCUUGGGAGGGGCUCAAUAGAUGGAAAGGGUAGCUAAUAGACCGCAGGCCGAGGAGCAAAAGGAGGAAUCCGCCCGAGGAGGGGCUAGUGUCUGAUUAGCUAGCUGGUGAUUCAAUAGCUGACCACGGCGCAGGUCAGAAGCUGGUCCGAGAGGAUGAUCAGCCACACUGCGACUGAGACACGGCCCAGGCACCUACGGGAGGAAGCAGUAGGCAAUUUGCCGCAAUGGGCGGAAACCUAACAGAGCAAUGCCACGUGAAAGUAGAAGGCCCACGGGUCAUGAACUGCGUAUCCCAGAGUAGAAGCAAUGACGGUAUCUAAUGAGUAAGCAACGGCUAACUCUGUG
RNAcentral lists this ribosomal RNA (437 nucleotides) under uncultured bacterium. Its description in RNAcentral is "partial 16S ribosomal RNA". It matches the Rfam family "Bacterial small subunit ribosomal RNA", at positions 28 to 507 of the family's 1533-position model. The record is from RNAcentral.